AACAGGAACAAUAUUUCGGGACGCCGGAGGAAACCCGGCAGCUGAUCCACUUUCUGGGCUGAAAACGAGCAGAAGUUUCUGCGUUCAUGUUGUAGCCAUUCAUUAUUGUAUUGGUACUGUAUUAUUGUAAACGUGUAAUUCAUUCCUGUUCAUG
This is a long non-coding RNA of Sander lucioperca (pikeperch), 154 nucleotides long. RefSeq lists it as uncharacterized. The record is from RefSeq and is a predicted model, not a curated record. Lineage: Eukaryota; Metazoa; Chordata; Actinopteri; Perciformes; Percidae. The transcript has 3 exons.